UAGGGAAUCUUCCGCAAUGGACGCAAGUCUGACGGAGCAACGCCGCGUGAGUGAAGAAGGAUUUCGGUUCGUAAAACUCUGUUGUUAGAGAAGAACAGCGCAUAGAGUAACUGUUAUGCGUGUGACGGUAUCUAACCAGAAAGCCACGGCUAACUACGUGCCAGCAGCCGCGGUAAUACGUAGGUGGCAAGCGUUGUCCGGAUUUAUUGGGCGUAAAGCGAGCGCAGGCGGUCAAUUAAGUCUGAUGUGAAAGCCCCCGGCUCAACCGGGGAGGGUCAUUGGAAACUGGUUGACUUGAGUGCAGAAGAGGAGAGUGGAAUUCCAUGUGUAGCGGUGGAAUGCGUAGAUAUAUGGAGGAACACCAGUGGCGAAGGCGACUCUCUGGUCUGUAACUGACGCUGAGGUUCGAAAGCGUGGGUAGCAAACAGG
Molecule: ribosomal RNA, 429 nt
Filed under: Bacteroidota bacterium
Lineage: Bacteria; Pseudomonadati; Bacteroidota
Description: Bacteroidetes bacterium partial 16S ribosomal RNA
Rfam family: Bacterial small subunit ribosomal RNA
Source: RNAcentral